AUUGAACGCUGGCGGCAUGCUUUACACAUGCAAGUCGAACGGCAGCGCGGGCUUCGGCCUGGCGGCGAGUGGCGAACGGGUGAGUAAUACAUCGGAACGUGCCCAGUAGUGGGGGAUAGCUCGGCGAAAGCCGGAUUAAUACCGCAUACGACCUGAGGUUGAAAGCGGGGGAUCUUCGGACCUCGCGCUAUUUGAGCGGCCGAUGGCAGAUUAGCUAGUUGGUGGGGUAAAGGCCUACCAAGGCGACGAUCUGUAGCUGGUCUGAGAGGACGACCAGCCACACUGGGACUGAGACACGGCCCAGACUCCUACGGGAGGCAGCAGUGGGGAAUUUUGGACAAUGGGCGAAAGCCUGAUCCAGCAAUGCCGCGUGUGUGAUGAAGGCCUUCGGGUUGUAAAGCACUUUUGGCGGGAACGAAAAGGACUGUGCCAAUACCACGGUUCGAUGACGGUACCCGCAGAAUAAGCACCGGCUAACUACGUG
This 484-nucleotide ribosomal RNA is filed under the name uncultured bacterium. RNAcentral's name for it is "partial 16S ribosomal RNA". It matches the Rfam family "Bacterial small subunit ribosomal RNA", at positions 30 to 507 of the family's 1533-position model. The record is from RNAcentral.